GCUUGGACUUAAGCAUAUCAAUAAGUCGGAGGAGUUAGGUACUAACAAGGAUUCCCCUAGUAACUGCGAGUGAAGCGGGAAAAGCUCAAAUUUAAAAUCUGGCGGUCUUUGGCCGUCCGAGUUGUAGUCUGGAGAAGUGCUUUCCGCGCUGGACCGUGUACAAGUCUCUUGGAACAGAGCGUCAUAGAGGGUGAGAAUCCCGUCUUUGACACGGACUACCAGUGCUUUGUGAUGCGCUCUCAAAGAGUCGAGUUGUUUGGGAAUGCAGCUCAAAAUGGGUGGUGAAUUCCAUCUAAAGCUAAAUAUUGGCGAGAGACCGAUAGCGAACAAGUACCGUGAGGGAAAGAUGAAAAGCACUUUGGAAAGAGAGUUAAACAGUACGUGAAAUUGCUGAAAGGGAAACGCUUGAAGUCAGUCGCGUCGUCCGGAACUCAGCCUUGCUUCGGCUUGGUGCACUUUCCGGAUGACGGGCCAGCAUCGAUUUUGACCGCCGGAAAAGGGUAGGAGGAAUGUGGCACCUUCGGGUGUGUUAUAGUCUCCUAUCGCAUACGGCGGUUGGGAUCGAGGAACGCAGCGCGCCUUAUGGCUGGGGUUCGCCCACAUUCGCGCUUAGGAUGCUGGCUAUAAUCCCGGCUUUAAACGACCCGUCUUAACAC
This 656-nucleotide ribosomal RNA is filed under the name Junghuhnia sp. AK15. RNAcentral describes it as "eukaryotic LSU rRNA". It matches the Rfam family "Eukaryotic large subunit ribosomal RNA", at positions 27 to 660 of the family's 3401-position model. Lineage: Eukaryota; Fungi; Basidiomycota; Agaricomycetes; Polyporales; Steccherinaceae. The record is from RNAcentral.